CGUACCUAUCUUGCUGUCGGGGACGCGCUUCUGGCCUUAAUUGGCUGGGACGCGGAGUCGGCGAUGUUACUUUGAAAAAAUUAGAGUGUUCAAAGCAGGCCUAAGCUCUGAAUACAUUAGCAUGGAAUAACGCUAUAGGACUCUGGUCUUAUUGCGUUGGUCUUCGAGACCGGAGUAAUGAUUAAGAGGGACAGUUGGGGGCAUUCGUAUUUCAUUGUCAGAGGUGAAAUUCUUGGAUUUAUGAAAGACGAACUUCUGCGAAAGCAUUUGCCAAGGAUGUUUUCAUUAAUCAAGAACGAAAGUUGGGGGCUCGAAGACGAUCAGAUACCGUCCUAGUCUCAACCAUAAACGAUGCCGACUAGGGAUUGGCGGAUGUUAAUUCGAUGACUUCGCCAGCACCUUAUGA
This 406-nucleotide ribosomal RNA is filed under the name Pyramimonas sp. RCC5516. RNAcentral's name for it is "SSU rRNA". It matches the Rfam family "Eukaryotic small subunit ribosomal RNA", at positions 686 to 1093 of the family's 1831-position model. Lineage: Eukaryota; Viridiplantae; Chlorophyta; Pyramimonadophyceae; Pyramimonadales; Pyramimonadaceae. The record is from RNAcentral.